Molecule: transfer RNA, 84 nt
Filed under: Saprospiraceae bacterium
Lineage: Bacteria; Pseudomonadati; Bacteroidota; Saprospiria; Saprospirales; Saprospiraceae
Also listed under: 2 other names
Description: tRNA-Leu
Rfam family: tRNA
About the family: Transfer RNA (tRNA) molecules are approximately 80 nucleotides in length. Their secondary structure includes four short double-helical elements and three loops (D, anti-codon, and T loops).
Source: RNAcentral
GCCGAAGUGGUGAAAUUGGUAGACAUGCACGUUUCAGGGGCGUGUGCCCGAAAGGGCGUGUGGGUUCGAGUCCCACCUUCGGCA